RNAcentral lists this ribosomal RNA (406 nucleotides) under uncultured bacterium. RNAcentral's name for it is "partial 16S ribosomal RNA". It matches the Rfam family "Bacterial small subunit ribosomal RNA", at positions 30 to 526 of the family's 1533-position model. The record is from RNAcentral.
AUUGAACGCUGGCGGCAGGCCUAACACAUGCAAGUCGAGCGAGCGGCGGACGGGUGAGGAAUGUCUGGGACACUGCCUGAUGGAGGGGGAUAACUACUGGAAACGGUAGCUAAUACCGCAUACCAUCAGAUGUGCCCAGAUGGGAUUGGCUAGUAGGUGGGGUAACGGCGCACCUAGGCGACGAUCCCUAGCUGGUCUGCGAGGCUUACCAGCCACACUGGAGCUGAGUCACGGUCCAGACUCCUACGGGAGGCAGAAGUGGAGAAUAUUGCACAAUGGGCGCAAGCCUGAUGCAGCCAUGCCGCGUGUAUGAAGAAGGCCUUCGGGUUGUAAAGUACUUUCAGCGGUGAGGCGUUACCCGCAGAAGAAGCACCGGCUAACUCCGUGCCAGCCGCCGCGGUAAUAC